This 20-nucleotide microRNA is filed under the name Gadus morhua (Atlantic cod). Its description in RNAcentral is "gmo-miR-462-5p". Its record names the gene gmo-miR-462-5p. The record is from miRBase by way of RNAcentral. Lineage: Eukaryota; Metazoa; Chordata; Actinopteri; Gadiformes; Gadidae.
UAACGGAACCCAUAAUACAG